AUCUAGCUGAUGAGUCCCAAGUAGAACGAAACGUGCGUCCUGGAU
Molecule: non-coding RNA, 45 nt
Filed under: Schistosoma margrebowiei
Lineage: Eukaryota; Metazoa; Platyhelminthes; Trematoda; Strigeidida; Schistosomatidae
Source: RNAcentral